CUGCCUGCAUGGGUAAACACCAGAAAACACCCAUUAGUCACCAGAACAUGGUUCGUUAUUGCUCAUAUGGUAGAACCGUAAUCAUCUAUAAUCCAUUAUAUGUGCUGUGAAUUGUGCCACUCGACUUGGGCUCUGUGCAUCUCACUCUGAGGUCUGAAAACAGUGGCUUUUACCUGGCGUCUGAGACAUCUCCUGUGCCUCCUCCGUCUCCAUUCGGUGCAGGUACUCUAAUGGGAUAGAGAGAGACAGAGAUGUAGAUGUGUUUAAAUUGUAUCAAUGGCACAGCAGGGCUGAAAAAGACAACAUUAUAAAAAGCCACAACUGACGAAAGCUAUGACCUCUCUCUUUACAACUCUGUCACCCUGGCAAGAUCCCUUUUGUCACACCGAAAGACACACCGCUGUCCCAUUACAUUACAACGAAUUACAGACAUUUUCAUUACAUGUCUGACAGAGAGGAUGGGCUGGGAGAGUGGCUUGGCCCUGCAUGACGGGCUAUGGUGAUGAGGAGCUUUCAGACCACAUUUGUUAUUUAUUGUUAAUUUCCUGCCACCUAAUCAUCCAAAAACGCAUACUGACUGCCGCAAAAUUAAGCAGAAAAUUCAGUGGCCCAAGGUCACUGAGGAUACGGCUGUUUGUCGUGCCCAGCUGAUCGACGCUCAUGUUCACUCUAAUUUACUGAGCAUGCACCGCUGAGCGCGCCACUACCCGAGCAAAGACGUGUGCGAGAGGUGCAACCAUCAGAAACAAAGAGAGAUGAGAGAGAGAAAGAUAAUAAAGAGAGGGACCGCGAGAGAGAGAUAGAGACAGAGAUGGAGAGAGGGGGGAUACAGAGAUAGAGAGGGGAGGGAACCAAGACAGACAGGGAGUGUAUCAUAGAGCGAAAGUAAAGAGAGAGAACCAGGGGACAGAGAGAGAGAUAGAGGAAGGAGAAGGCCAAGGGGCACCAAAGUAAGUUUCUUUCGCACAAGAGGAGGGAAUUUAGUGAAGAAGAGCACAUCCCCUGGCCAGGGGCCUGCUGCAUAUCUGAGGAGUCACCAGUGCGCGUGGCCCCAUUAAUAAUGCAUCCACCUCAAGCCUGCAGCAGAUGGGCACAACAGCCUCAGCCUCGGCUCCGCCACUUCAAGAAGGCCCUUGGUGGAGCCGCUUUCCCGGCCCAGCCAGCCACACAGGGAGAAGUGAAGCUCCCUAAAAUAGCGAAGCGAGCCCGAGGGAGAAGGGGAACCUAGGCCUUCCUGUUUUACUGACAGAUGGCUCCACACAUUUGGAACAAAUAGUGGGAAGCCACCAAGCAGCCCCUGCUGCGGUCGCAACGCCCAAUGUUCAGCGGACAGGCGAGUCAAGUCAGAGGUUCGACAACCCACGAACACCCAGGACCCAAGUGGGGGAGGUGGUGGUGGGUUGGGGAGGGGGUAGGAAGGGCAGAGGUCAUUGGUGCAGAAGAUGCUGGCGCAGCGAGCACAGUGGGUGUUAGAUGCUGGUGUGUCGAUACAGGACUAGGAGGCCCUGCCGGCACCAUCAUUCUUUAGCAUCUGGAGUUUGGAGGUCGGGAGGGGGUGGUAUUCUCAUGUGCCUUUUUUUCUGGGCGGAUGGUGCGAAGGGAAAUACUGAUCGUGUUGGUGGGGGACUUUCACAGAAGUGAGAAAUGCAUUCCCAUGUUUAACCACAACACAGUUGUUAAGGCAUUCAGGAAGCUGUAUAUUCACUCAAAGUAACACUGUUAUUCCUUUUAGUUAUGCUAGAUUACAUUUAUUUGAUUUGAUUUGUUUUAUCAUCGUUUUGUUUCCUGGUUCAUUAUAAACCACAGGUGUUUGUGACAAAACCCAAUUAGUUGAAUAUCUUAAUGAUAUGUUAUGUUGUAGUUCAUUUCUUGUUGACAAUUCUCAAUAUAUUUUGUGUUUUGUGGAUGGUUUCAUUCAGCCAUUAUUUCAGAAUGACACCACCUUAGUCAAAUAUGACAAAACAAGGCACUAAGGGCAACACCUGCUUUCUGAAAGUGCCUCACAAAGGGCAGGAAGAGUCAUGGCAGUGGGUCUGAGUGCGCUCAGUAAGGGGAGGAGAGGCAGGAUGAGGGCUGUGGGUUCACAACACCCCCAGUCCUAACUCAAGGGAGUGUGUGUGUGUGUGUGUGUGUGUAUGUGUGUGUGUGUGUGUGUGUGUGUGUGUGUGUGUGUGUGUGUGUGUGUGUGUGUGUGUGUGUGUGUGUGUGUGUGUGUGUGUGUGUGUGUGUGUGUGUGUGUGUGUGUGUGUGUGUGUGUGUGUGUGUGUGUGGGAUGGAUGGCGGGUGGGGUGGAAGGGCUGUGCCGAGCAGGGUGCGAACACACGACAGGGAGCAGGGUGGAGACUGAAACAGUCAAACCGUUAAACAGCCAAAGUGCACAACAACAGCAAACUUUGGAUACUGGGAGGAAGUAAAAACCGACUGACAGGAUUUUAUAAUGUAAACUAUAAUUUGGCAACACAUAUUUCUCCUUAAAUGUCAGGAAUAUCAACAUAAAACAUAUGUGAAUAAUAUGGGGUCUAUGUGAAUGAAUAAAACAGUCAAUACAAUCUGAGGGGUGAUAUAGAACAUUAGGCUAAGUUUCUAAUAACUUUUUAGUCAAACAAGAAUUAUAUCAUAUCAGAUAUCAUUAUUGAAAUGUUUUUCCCCCCUCAAACUAUUAUAAGUAUAUGCUGCUUCUGUGAGAAGUGUGAUUCAAGACGGUACUUGAAAAUCAUAAUUUGUUUCUCCAGAAAAUCGUUCAUUUAGACAACAAAUUAAGAACAGUGACUGUUGUUGCUAAUUUAUCCCCCCAAAAUAAUGUAAUCAGCUUGAUUCAUUUCAUAUAUUUUGAUACUGAGAUGUAAAAAUGAAUAUGAAUUACUUUUUGUGUAUUGAGACCCACCUCAUUCAUUCCAGUGUGAAACAAAACAGUAUUUGUGCCACAACUCACUCAUGCCUUAGCAACGGGUUGCAAUUCAUUGCUUAAUUUACUAAUAGUAAUUGAAAUAUAUCAUGUUUUUUUUUCUUGAGGGUGAGUCCAUUUGUACAGGUUGCUGUGUUUUUAAUUUUGGAUUCGUUUUUAAAAUGAACGUUUCAUUCAAAAAAGAACUCAGCAAAUUCCUACCAUAAUAAGGCCAUCGCCCAAGUUUUCACAUUGUUUUCUCAUCUUUUCCGUAGGACAGAAACCUUUGAGGUGGCAGUGGUUUGCUUGAAAAGAGCAAACCUUGCUAUCAAAUUGAAAUGCAAGUGUUUGGCUGCCCUAAAAAAAAAAAAAAAGGCCCCCCCAUAGCCCAACUCCUGACCUGAGGCCAGACAGAGGGAAUCCUGGAUCAGAGGCGUGACCCAUGACAACGCACGCUCCAAUCAUAACCAGCAGAGGAGCAUGGUCUUCCCAGCCGUAGAGAUACCAACCUAUCCCAGUGACACAGCAGAUCUUCUCACUCAACGUGUGUGGGGCUUACACCAGGACACAAGGACACAGUCUAGUUUAAAGAGAGGUUGAAUCCAAUGUUUGUGUCACAAUGUUUGCAGGUGGUACAGUUUUGUUUUUGACCACCACUAUUUUUGAAACUUUCAGUAACGUUAAUAAAGCCAACAGGUAGAAUGCGUUUUGAUGGGGUUAUAAUGCAUUGUAAAGACAUUGAAUAAACAUGGGUAUUUAAACAAA
This is a long non-coding RNA of Oncorhynchus kisutch (coho salmon), 3649 nucleotides long. RefSeq lists it as uncharacterized. NCBI's taxonomy places the organism in Eukaryota, Metazoa, Chordata, Actinopteri, Salmoniformes, Salmonidae. The transcript is spliced from 2 exons. The record is from RefSeq and is a predicted model, not a curated record.